This 528-nucleotide long non-coding RNA is filed under the name Homo sapiens (human). RNAcentral describes it as "non-protein coding lnc-RPS3A-2:1". The record is from RNAcentral. Lineage: Eukaryota; Metazoa; Chordata; Mammalia; Primates; Hominidae.
AGCACAGAAGUUGGUGAGAUGGCAAAGCAGUAUAUAGAGAAAAGUCUUUUGGUUCCAGACCAUGUGAUCACAUACCUAAUGAUGUCUGAGUUGGAGAAUAGGUGUGGCCAGCACUGGCUCCUCGAUGGUUUUCCUAGGACAUUAGGACAAGCCGAAGCCCUGGACAAAAUCUGUGAAGUGGAUCUAGUGAUCAGUUUGAACAUUCCAUUUGAAACACUUAAAAGAUCGUCUCAGCCGCCGUUGGAUUCACCCUCCUAGCGGAAGGGUAUAUAACCUGGACUUCAAUCCACCUCAUGUUCAUGGUAUUGAUGUACUGGUGAACCAUUAGUCCAGCAGGAGGAUGAUAAACCUGAAGCAGUUGCUGCCAGGCUAAGACAGUACAAAGACAUGGCAAAGCCAGUCAUUGAAUUAUACAAAAGCCAAGGAGUGCUCCACCAAUUUUCUGGGAUGGAGACGAACAAAAUCUGACCCUACAUUUACACACUUUUCUCGAACAAGAUCACACCUAUUCAGUCCAAAGAAGCAUAU